GAUGCAGAGGAGCGCAGAUGGUGGCAGAGUUCCUGAUAAUGAAACAACAGGUCAUCCCUUGGGCUCAGUGGUCUCCUUCAUCAUGUUACUGGCUGCAGUGGACUUAGGAAUGCGGUGAACACAGGGGAUAGAGAAUGACUCAGAACAGAAAUCUCUACGUCAGUGGGGAGCAGGCGUUUCAUCAGAGUAUCUGAUUGCUUGAAGAUGAUGAAGGAGGGUUUUGGGAUGCAGAAUUUUCUAAAUCCACCUGGAAGCCUGGGAAACUCUCCCUCCACACACAAGGCCCUGCCCCACACACUGCAGCAACCAAUCUGGAAAACCAGACUCCAACCUCUGCAGCAAUAGGACCCAAGGGUCAGGACUUGGUCAGUGACUCACAGCUUCGA
This is a long non-coding RNA of Orcinus orca (killer whale), 386 nucleotides long. RefSeq lists it as uncharacterized. The record is from RefSeq and is a predicted model, not a curated record. The transcript has 3 exons. Lineage: Eukaryota; Metazoa; Chordata; Mammalia; Artiodactyla; Delphinidae.